GAAAACGUGAUGAACGGGAGCAAGUACAGGGGCAAUGUCCACAGAGAGCUGCGGUUGGUGCGACGCAGUGACAGUAACCUUGGAAACUCGCCCGGAAGCGGGACGCUGGAACGUGGGAGAUCGUAAGUCAUAGAUCAUUCAUGAGUAGAGUGUCAACGGCUAACCCCCGUUAUAGCUUUUGCUAACUGUAUUCGAUCCGAAUGGGUUUGUAAAAGAUGAGUGGGGUGCCUAGGUUAAUAGCCGCUAGGGCACCAACAAGAGUGGUACCGCGGAAGGUGAAGGCCUGUCGUCUCUUUG
Molecule: non-coding RNA, 297 nt
Filed under: Paenibacillus pini
Lineage: Bacteria; Bacillati; Bacillota; Bacilli; Caryophanales; Paenibacillaceae
Description: T-box sequence
Rfam family: T-box leader
About the family: Uncharged tRNA acts as the effector for transcription antitermination of genes in the T-box leader family. T-boxes are found upstream of many aminoacyl-tRNA synthetase genes and some amino acid biosynthetic genes usually in Gram-positive bacteria. The anticodon of a specific tRNA base pairs to a specifier sequence within the T-box motif, and the NCCA acceptor tail of the tRNA base pairs to a conserved bulge in the T-box antiterminator hairpin.
Source: RNAcentral